CUAGUCGCUUCAUGUUUCACAAACCGGGAUAAGUUCCGGCCUUUUGAUCAAUACCAUAUAGUUAGCUGGCUUUAGUAAGAGAAUCUUGAGGUCGAUGAUGUCGAAACCUGUUUUAAAUCUGUUGUCCAGAUCCAGAAGGACAGUACGAACUCGUUUUUGUCUGGAUUUCAAGGUACAGUGGUAGAUAUUGGAGGUACACCAAAAUUUAGGCAUUAAUUUUCAUUAGAAGUUGCUUGUAAGAAACUGAGAUGCUUAUUGUUGAUUGAUGAAAAGUAGAAAACAAAGAAUUUUAAGGAAAUAAGGGUUUUGUAUUCUACUACACGCAUGCUCUCUAUAAAAGGGGUCAACUAGGGGAGGUUCAAGCCAUUUAAGGUCUUCAGUUUAUUAACAGCCGCUUAACUGACAACUGACAAAUAGACAAAAUAGACCCUCGUUUCCGCUUUUUGAUUUCGACUUGCAAAAAGGUAAAGAGUUAACUUAUUUUUCAUACCAAGCAAUAUCACUUGUUCAAGUCGCUGUUGGCAGAAACAAAUGUGGUGAGAGGGGAGGGGAGGGAAGGAACGGCCGUCUACAUCUAAGCAUAAUUACUAGAGGGUAGCAAAAAAUUACAUGUUUAUAGUGGGGCUGUGAUAAGCCGUCCAGAGGAUUUUUCUCGCCAUUGCGUGAACAUGCAAUUAUGUAUAAGAUACCGCGCAACUUAUUUGAUUUGUUUGAGGGGGUAACCGAGGCCUACGAACAGUCUUCCGGUGAGGACGAAAGAAAAAAUGAAAAAAAAAAAAAGGAAAACGAGAGCGAAACUGAAGAAUUCGGAGAGCGAAGCGAUCGGGGGCUGGGCUUCGUUCGCGCUCGCCGGGAGGCAGUGGGUUACCCGGUGGGGUGAUGUUGUUCGAGUCCCAGUCCCUUCGCACGUCGAGACUGUUGAUGGAGAACUUUGAUGAGCGGUUGUUGUCCUUGCAAGAAGUUCAAAGACACAACAAAGUUGAUGAUGCUUGGAUAGUAAUUGAUGGAAAGGUUUAUGAUGUCUCAAGCUAUGUAUCAAUUCAUCCCGGGGGGAAAGCGAUUCUAAGAAAUGUGGGAGGAGACGCCACACAGGGAUUUCAACAACAGGCUGCCCACAGAGUCGUAAAGAACCACAUUGCAUCUUUGCUGGAGAAGUUCUACAUUGGUCGCAUAUCACCAGGACAGGAAUGUUCGAAAACUGGUUAAUGCUAAUCCAGGAUUAAAAGCGGAUUGUGCUCUUAAUUUAAUCUGUCAGUUGAUAAUGUUUUCUAUGGUUUUCUAAACUUUGAAUUCAUAGAUUAUAGUCAUCAGUUAGGUGUCCACUGAGGGGAACAUCCCUCUGUUAGGAAAUUUUGACACAAUAAUAAAGCUUAUAAUAUUUUUUUAUUAUCAUAUUGAUGUUGCACAAAGUCAACAUUAAGGACAAAAGAAAAUAGACAAAAAGUCGCUGAAAAGAUACAGAAAAAUUAAAAUCCAAAUUCAGUGUAAUCCUGGAUUAGCUUUAUAGUAUUUUGAACAGUCAAUCCCGGCAGAAGAGGAAUAUUGUGAAACAAAGUUAUCAGGAACAGUGACUCUUGUUUAUUUUGCUUCAUCUAAAAUGGCGAUGCUACAAUGAGACUGGAGGUUUUUACACUGCUACUCUGGCUUGAGCUUCUUCUGGUGUCGUAAAACUAGCAAAUAAGGAUGUAAAGCCUGAAAUGUUUCUUUUAGUUUGUUUCUGUUCUUGUUAUUUUGUUGAUGAUUGUAAAAGAUAUGCAGGCUAUGAUAAAAUGACUCUUUAAACCACUGCAGAAAAA
This 1796-nucleotide unclassified non-coding RNA is filed under the name Orbicella faveolata. RNAcentral describes it as "cytochrome b5-like, transcript variant X2". Lineage: Eukaryota; Metazoa; Cnidaria; Anthozoa; Scleractinia; Merulinidae. The record is from RNAcentral.